RNAcentral lists this ribosomal RNA (502 nucleotides) under uncultured bacterium. Its description in RNAcentral is "bacterial SSU rRNA". It matches the Rfam family "Bacterial small subunit ribosomal RNA", at positions 9 to 526 of the family's 1533-position model. The record is from RNAcentral.
GAGUUUGAUCCUGGCUCAGGACGAACGCUGGCGGCGUGCUUAAUACAUGCAAGUCGAACGGAGUUAAGGGUUUCGGCCCUUAACUUAGUGGCGAACGGGUGAGUAACGCGUGAAUAACCUGACUCAAAGAGGGGGAUAACAACGGGAAACUGUUGCUAAUACCGCAUGAGACCACAACACCGCAUGAUGAAGGGGUCAAAGAUUUAUCGCUUUGAGAGGGGUUCGCGUCCCAUUAGGUAGUUGGAGGGGUAACGGCCCACCAAGCCAACGAUGGGUAGCCGAGCUGAGAGGCUGAUCGGCCACAUUGGGACUGAGACACGGCCCAAACUCCUACGGGAGGCAGCAGUGGGGAAUAUUGGGCAAUGGGGGAAACCCUGACCCAGCAACGCCGCGUGGAGGAAGAAGGUUUUCGGAUCGUAAACUCCUGUCCUUGGAGACGAGUAGAAGACGGUAUCCAAGGAGGAAGCCCCGGCUAACUACGUGCCAGCCGCCGCGGUAAUUC